RNAcentral lists this transfer RNA (60 nucleotides) under Teladorsagia circumcincta. RNAcentral's name for it is "tRNA-Asn". Lineage: Eukaryota; Metazoa; Nematoda; Chromadorea; Rhabditida; Trichostrongylidae. The record is from RNAcentral.
UUAGAGGUUAGUUUUAAGUUAAGAAUUGUUGAUUGUUAAUCAAAAGGUUAUCCUCUAAGU